Molecule: ribosomal RNA, 220 nt
Filed under: Bacillus amyloliquefaciens
Lineage: Bacteria; Bacillati; Bacillota; Bacilli; Caryophanales; Bacillaceae
Description: partial 23S ribosomal RNA
Rfam family: Bacterial large subunit ribosomal RNA
Source: RNAcentral
CGGCGAGCGAAACGGGACCAGCCCAAACCAAGAGGCUUGCCUCUUGGGGUUGUAGGACACUCUAUACGGAGUUACAAAGGAAUGAUAUAAGCGAAGAGGUCUGGAAAGGCCCGCCAAAGAAGGUAACAGCCCUGUAACUGAAAUGUCGUUCUCUCCAGAGUGGAUCCUGAGUACGGCGGAACACGUGAAAUUCCGUCGGAAUCCGGGAGGACCAUCUCCC